This 442-nucleotide ribosomal RNA is filed under the name uncultured bacterium. Its description in RNAcentral is "partial 16S ribosomal RNA". It matches the Rfam family "Bacterial small subunit ribosomal RNA", at positions 338 to 795 of the family's 1533-position model. The record is from RNAcentral.
CCUACGGGCGGCAGCAGUGGGGAAUAUUGGGCAAUGGGCGCAAGCCUGACCCAGCAACGCCGCGUGAAGGAAGAAGGCUUUCGGGUUGUAAACUUCUUUGAAGAGGGAAGAGUAGAAGAAGGUACCUCUUGAAUAAGCCACGGCUAACGACGUGCCAGCAGCCGCGGAAAAAAGCAGGGGGCAGGGGUGGUCCGGAUUUACUGGGAGUAAAGGGCGUGCAGCCGGGAAUAGAAAGCAGAUGUGAAAUCCCGCGGCUCAACCGCCGAACUGCAUUUGAAACUGUUUUUUUUGAGUACCGGAGAGGUCAUCGGAAUUCCUUGUGUAGCGGUGAAAUGCGUAGAUAUAAGGAAGAACACCAGUGGCGAAGGCGGAUGACUGGACGGCAACUGACGGUGAGGCGCGAAAGCGUGGGGAGCAAACAGGAUUAGAUACCCGUGUAGUC